AUGCUUGAGCAGAACACCUUGAGCUUUGCGUACAUCUCUGCCUCCUUGGUAGUCAGUCCUGUUGCUGGACCGUUCGUCACGACAAUCUCCAUACCUGUCCCCUUGUCACAAACAUCCGAGGGCUGCUGUGCAGGCAGAUUGCCCAUAUGCAUCACCAAUGGCUCGUGUACGUGGAUCGUAUCGCAUGCAAGAACUGCAUGGUUCCCAUCAGUGCGGGGCCCAGUCAUCCUGAGGCCAUCCAUCGAUUGCAUGCAUUCAUCCAGGGGGUGUUGCCGGGUGUCCCUUGAGUCUGCGUCUCCACCACAGCCUCAUGUGCCGCUGUGUCCUGCAUGA
RNAcentral lists this ribosomal RNA (333 nucleotides) under Triticum aestivum (bread wheat). Its description in RNAcentral is "partial small subunit ribosomal RNA". Lineage: Eukaryota; Viridiplantae; Streptophyta; Magnoliopsida; Poales; Poaceae. The record is from RNAcentral.